CCUACGGGAGGCAGCAGUGGGGAAUAUUGCACAAUGGGGGAAACCCUGAUGCAGCGACGCCGCGUGAGUGAAGAAGGAUUUCGGGAUGUAAAGCUCUAUCAGCAGGGAAGAAGCAAGACGGUACCGGAGGAAGAAGCACCGGCUAACUACGUGCCAGCAGCCGCGGUAAUACGGAGGGGGCAAGCGUUAUCCGGAUGUACGGGGUGGAAAGGGAGCGUAGACGGUAUGGCCAGUCGGAAGUGAAAGCCCAGGGCUUAACCCUGGGACUGCUUUGGAAACUGUUAGACUAGAGUGCUGGAGCGUUCAGUGUCCUUCCUCUUGUAGCGGUUCACUGCUUAGAUAUUAGGCGGCACCCCAGUGGCGACGGCGGCUUACUGGACCGUACCUGACGUUGAGGCUC
Molecule: ribosomal RNA, 400 nt
Filed under: uncultured bacterium
Lineage: Bacteria
Description: partial 16S ribosomal RNA
Rfam family: Bacterial small subunit ribosomal RNA
Source: RNAcentral